GGACGAGGGACCUCGAGCACUCGAAGAGAUAGCUGUUCCUGACACUGGGUCGACACGUCUCGAAGAACAGAUUGACUGCAUGGACUUCACUUGUGAUGUCACAGUAGAUUCCACUCAUUUGGACUGUUCACAGGACAAGACCGGUGCAAUGUUCAUCCCAGCUAUGCCCCAAACUUGGAAAGCUGCACAG
Long non-coding RNA from Ornithodoros turicata, 190 nucleotides. RefSeq lists it as uncharacterized. Lineage: Eukaryota; Metazoa; Arthropoda; Arachnida; Ixodida; Argasidae. The record is from RefSeq and is a predicted model, not a curated record. The transcript has 4 exons.